GUCGAACGGCAGCACGGGAGCAAUCCUGGUGGCGAGUGGCGAACGGGUGAGUAAUACAUCGGAACGUGCCCAGUUGUGGGGGAUAGCCCGGCGAAAGCCGGAUUAAUACCGCAUACGACCUACGGGUGAAAGCGGGGGAUCGCAAGACCUCGCGCAAUUGGAGCGGCCGAUGGCAGAUUAGCUUGUUGGUGGGGUAAAAGCCUACCAAGGCGACGAUCUGUAGCUGGUCUGAGAGGACGACCAGCCACACUGGGACUGAGACACGGCCCAGACUCCUACGGGAGGCAGCAGUGGGGAAUUUUGGACAAUGGGCGCAAGCCUGAUCCAGCCAUGCCGCGUGCGGGAAGAAGGCCUUCGGGUUGCAAACCGCUUUUGUCAGGGAAGAAACGGUCUGAUCUAAUAAAUCAGACUAAUGACGGUACCUGAAGAAUAAGCACCGGCUAACUACGUGCCAGCAGCCGCG
This 463-nucleotide ribosomal RNA is filed under the name uncultured soil bacterium. Its description in RNAcentral is "bacterial SSU rRNA". It matches the Rfam family "Bacterial small subunit ribosomal RNA", at positions 61 to 519 of the family's 1533-position model. The record is from RNAcentral.